AGUGAACGCUGGCGGUAGGCCUAACACAUGCAAGUCGAACGGCAGCACAGUAAGAGCUUGCUCUUACGGGUGGCGAGUGGCGGACGGGUGAGGAAUACAUCGGAAUCUACUUUUUCGUGGGGGAUAACGUAGGGAAACUUACGCUAAUACCGCAUACGACCUACGGGUGAAAGCAGGGGAUCUUCGGACCUUGCGCGAUUGAAUGAGCCGAUGUCGGCUUAGCUAGUUGGCGGGGUAAAGGCCAACCAAGGCGACGAUCCGUAGCAGGUCUGAGAGGAUGGUCAGCCAGACUGGAACUGAGACACGGUCCAGACACUUACGGGAGGCAGCAGUGGGGAAUAUUGGACAAUGGGCGCAAGCCUGAUCCAGCCAUACCGCGUGGGUGAAGAAGGCCUUCGGGUUGGAAAGCCCUGUUGUUGGGAAAGAAAAGCAGCAGGUUAAUACCCCGCGGUUCUGACGGUACCCAAAGAAUAAGCACCGGCUAACUUCGUG
RNAcentral lists this ribosomal RNA (492 nucleotides) under uncultured bacterium. RNAcentral's name for it is "partial 16S ribosomal RNA". It matches the Rfam family "Bacterial small subunit ribosomal RNA", at positions 29 to 507 of the family's 1533-position model. The record is from RNAcentral.